RNAcentral lists this unclassified non-coding RNA (331 nucleotides) under rhizosphere metagenome. RNAcentral describes it as "partial ribosomal RNA internal transcribed spacer region". The record is from RNAcentral.
GUAGGUGAACCUGCGGAAGGAUCAUUAACACGUACCCAACGUUAAACCCCCCGUGAACCUUCAAAGUGCUCUUGGUGCCUUUACGGAACAGCAAUCCUGGUAAAUCAGUGGCGAGAUUCGUUUUUGAUUCAGGACCUCUGUCCAUGGUGCCAAUCGAGCGCAAAGUUAGUGGGUCUGGUUACCUGGCCUGGCUCCUCACGAGCCGGCGAACAGACCUGCAGGGCUUCGGCCCCCUAUCUGACGACCAAGUUAAACCGGGCCUGGUCACAUAGCAAGUGCGCCGUGAUGCAGGUAAAUCGUACAACUGUUAACAAUGGAUAUCUUGGUUCUC